GUAGAAAGCUAUUAAAAAAUUGCUAGCCUUACCAAAAUGGGAGAGUAUGGGUUUUAAUGUGUAGCAGAGGUAAGGUAUCUUUAAAAAUCUGUAAUUUUGAACUGCAAUAGGACUGAGAGAGGUCUUGAAAUAAAAUAUUUAAUUACCAAAUCAUUUUUUUUAAAAGAUCCAGAGCUUGCAAUUGAUUUCAUUAGCCUCAGCUGAGCUCACUGGUGAAACCCCUGGUUAUUACUGGUGCUGCUGUAUUGGUUUGGUGGGCCCCAUCAGCAAAUUAUUGUGCUUGUAAUGGGCUUUGCAUGCUAAAAGUGAAGCUAUUCCAAACCMAACACCCUCUCUGUCUUCUCUGAUAGAGGCAACUAGYUUAUUUCCUGGUGUAAAAGCAAAAGCAGUUUCCUUGACUGCUUGUGUUCACAAGGCUGUGAGGGGAAGGGCUGGUAUGGCAAUACCUCAYGCUCUGCAGGGCAGAAAUCAGCCAGGAUUUACCUGAGGGGCUGUGAUAUUUAGAAAGGAAUUCCAACGGGAAUUGGCACAGUGACCUUCAGCUGACUCUGACAGGUUUGCACGAUCGGUGCCUCACUGCAGGAAGAGAGAUGCUGCUUGCUGAUGGCCAGGAGCCCUGACGGUGUCUGGGGAAACCUGCCUGCCUGCAGCAGCUCACAGGAUGGCCACUGGUAAAGGCAAGCUUCUGCAAAACCRUCUGAAUGUUGCUUGAUCACUGGGYUGAACUGGCWUUAGAGCUGAGGGCAGUUUUUGCAUCAGCCUCUGCAGCAGACAGAUCCCAGAAUCACUCAGAUGAAGACCUGGUGAGGUGCAGAGGUUUAGAGAUCUCUUUUCCCUAGGGAAAAUAAAAGAAUUAGCRUGUCAUUAAGCAGAGGUUAUGGAAGAAUUAAAGCACUCAAUAAGACAUGAUGUUCUCCCUAGUUCAGUGAUUAUAGGCUCUUCUCACAAGAGCUGCCAUAUUCCCUCUGCCUCUGGCACAAUUCAGAUGUCCUGAAGAAAAGGCUUUCUUGCAAUCUUGUUUCUGUGUAUUCUUCACCAGGCACUUGAAAUCCAUUUUAUGAACAUCAGUUUGUUCUGAGUUGUACAUUGCCAAGAUUAUGAUCCUUAGGGAACAGGACGUGAAACCGCAGAGCGAGGAGAUGAGGUGAGCGAGAGGCUCUGAAUUCCCUCGGUUGGGUCACCCCCUCUGUUUCCCAAUUCAAAGCAAGAGGCCAGACAGGCAGGCAGCUCUUCCUUGAAGACACCCAGGUUCUCGAGAGGUGUGCCAGUGUCUGGCAGACGCGGUGAUGGCAACGCACGGUGGACACAACACGGUCACGCUUGCUCAGGGCUGURAACAGUCUCCAAAGGCACCGGCCGGCUCUCACCGCCUCCUGGAGAGCUCAGCGCAAGGAUCCUGCCCAGGCACACCCAGCCCUGGCGUAUUCCUUCCAGGAGAGGGCAGGGGAAUACAGUWUAUCGCAGAUCCGCUCCCGAACCGGAGCCAUCCCAUCCCAUCCCAGAUCUGCCUCUACGUCUUGAGCCUAUUUUGCUUUCCUAAACUUAGACGAGCAGAGUGGUAUUGAGAGGGUGAGAUGCUCUGAAAGGUUCUUCAGAUGUGAAAAAGAGUCAGAUCCCUCCUCCAUCAUGGUGUGCAGAUGCCAGCACAAAGUAUGGUGGCCAUGCAUCCCCUCCCAUGGCAGCACAUGUUUGGAUCAGCCUGAACCUGCUGAAAACUUUUCAYCUUCCCAUCUCCAGCCUCAGAGAUACCCAAGAGCCCUGCAGCUGCACAGUGGGCAAAGGAGCCAGCCUCCAGUGGUGCUUUUAGGGAAGCGAAAAGGCUGUGGGCCCAGUAAAAYGGAUGAAACUUGAAAAGCAGAACUGGGAAAACACCGUUUUAUUUCCACACAAGGAGAGAGAGGCCUACAGUGGAGGRGUACGAAUGGUGUGCUGUGCCAUGUGCCCUCAAAAAAUGGUGCACAGACUGUUGUCAUAAGGCUGCAUUCUGGUAUCCYAGGCUGCACAUUCCCAAGGAUGUGAAAAAAGGAAAAAAUGGAUUUGAAAAACCAUGAUUGAGCAGACAAACUGACUGCCCUGCAGCCAUUGUGAGCUUCCUCAGCCGGACUACACCUCUGCAGGAGUUGAACAUGAAUCCUGAUCCAUACCAAAUAUUGCAUAACUAUAGUAU
This is a long non-coding RNA of Malurus melanocephalus (red-backed fairy wren), 2167 nucleotides long. RefSeq lists it as uncharacterized. The transcript has 4 exons. The record is from RefSeq and is a predicted model, not a curated record. Lineage: Eukaryota; Metazoa; Chordata; Aves; Passeriformes; Maluridae.